Molecule: ribosomal RNA, 917 nt
Filed under: uncultured archaeon
Lineage: Archaea
Description: bacterial SSU rRNA
Rfam family: Archaeal small subunit ribosomal RNA
Source: RNAcentral
UCCGGUUGAUCCCGCCAGAGGUUACUGCUAUCGGUGUUCGCCUAAGCCAUGCGAGUCAUAUGUAGCAAUACAUGGCGUACUGCUCAGUAACACGUGGAUAACCUGCCCUUGGGACCGGCAUAACCCCGGGAAACUGGGGAUAAUUCCGGAUAACGCAUAUUUGCUGGAAUGCUUUAUGCGUCAAAAGGAUUCGUCUGCCCAAGGAUGGGUCUGCGGCCUAUCAGGUAGUAGUGGGUGUAAUGUACCUACUAGCCAGCGACGGGUACGGGUUGUGAGAGCAAGAGCCCGGAGAUGGAUUCUGAGACAUGAAUCCAGGCCCUACGGGGCGCAGCAGGCGCGAAAACUUUACAAUGCGGGAAACCGUGAUAAGGGGACACCGAGUGCCAGCAUCAUAUGCUGGCUGUCCGGAUGUGUAAAAUACAUCCGUUAGCAAGGGCCGGGCAAGACCGGUGCCAGCCGCCGCGGUAACACCGGCGGCCCGAGUGGUGAUCGUGAUUAUUGGGUCUAAAGGGUCCGUAGCCGGUUUGGUCAGUCCUCCGGGAAAUCUGAUAGCUUAACUAUUAGGCUUUCGGGGGAUACUGCCAGACUUGGAACCGGGAGAGGUAAGAGGUACUACAGGGGUAGGAGUGAAAUCUUGUAAUCCCUGUGGGACCACCUGUGGCGAAGGCGUCUUACCAGAACGGGUUCGACGGUGAGGGACGAAAGCUGGGGGCACGAACCGGAUUAGAUACCCGGGUAGUCCCAGCCGUAAACGAUGCUCGCUAGGUGUCAGGCAUGGCGCGACCGUGUCUGGUGCCGCAGGGAAGCCGUGAAGCGAGCCACCUGGGAAGUACGGCCGCAAGGCUGAAACUUAAAGGAAUUGGCGGGGGAGCACAACAACGGGUGGAGCCUGCGGUUUAAUUGGAUUCAACGCCGGG